This is a non-coding RNA of Triticum aestivum (bread wheat), 136 nucleotides long. NCBI's taxonomy places the organism in Eukaryota, Viridiplantae, Streptophyta, Magnoliopsida, Poales, Poaceae. The record is from Rfam.
CUGCUACUCCCUCCGUCCCAAAAAUACUUGUCAUUAAAAUGGAUAAAAGAGUAUGUAUCUAGAUGUGUUUUAGUUCUAAAUACAUCUCUUUUUGUCCAUUUUGAUGACAAGUAUUUCCGGAUGGAGGGAGUACAUU